UACGGAGGGUGCAAGCGUUAUCCGGAUUCACUGGGUUUAAAGGGUGCGUAGGAGGGCAGGUAAGUCAGUGGUGAAAUCCCUAAGCUUAACUUGGGAACUGCCGUUGAUACUAUCUGUCUUGAAUAUUGUGGAGGUGAGCGGAAUAUGUCAUGUAGCGGUGAAAUGCUUAGAUAUGACAUAGAACACCAAUUGCGAAGGCAGCUCACUACGCAAUCAUUGACUCUGAGGCACGAAAGCGUGGGGAUCAAACAGG
Molecule: ribosomal RNA, 253 nt
Filed under: uncultured prokaryote
Description: partial 16S ribosomal RNA
Rfam family: Bacterial small subunit ribosomal RNA
Source: RNAcentral